GUUCUCGCGGGCGCUCCCAGGUUGUGCGCCUUUGUGGAGGGGGUCUGGUGGUGCUUAAUUGGAUCGCCAGGCUGCCGCCACCGUUUACUGUGAAAAAAAUUAGAGGUGUUCAAAGCAGGCGAUUGCCCUGAAUACAUUAGCAUGGAAUAAUAGAAUAGGACCCGGUCCUAUUUUGUUGGUUUGUUUGAAUCGGGUAAUGAUUAAAAGGGACGGUUGGGGGCAUUCGUAUUCCGACGCUAGAGGUGAAAUUCUUGGAUUGUCGGAAGACGAACAGCUGCGAAAGCGUCUGCCAAGGACGUUUUCAUUGAUCAAGAACGAAAGUAAGGGGAUCGAAGACGAUCAGAUACCGUCGUAGUCUUUACUAUAAACGAUGAGGACUGGAGAUCGGAUAAGACUGAUUUAUGGCUUAUCCGGCAUCCUUCGAGAAAUCAAAGUUUGCUUUCUGGGGGGAGUAUGGUCGCAAGGCUGAAACUUAAAGGAAUUGACGGAAGGGCAUCACCGGGUGUGGAGCCUGCGGCUUAAUUUGACUCAACACGGGAAAACUUACCAGGUCAGGACAUAGUAAGGAUUGACAGAUUGAGAGCUCUUUCUUGAUUCUAUGGUUGGUGGUGCAUGGCCGUUCUUAGUUGGUGGAGUGAUCUGUCUGGUUAAUUCCGUUAACGAGCGAGACCUGGGCGUGCUAGCUAGGCGCCGUUACCUUUGGUAGCGAGGCAAAGCCUUCCUAGACGGACUGUGGGCGUCUAGCCCACGGAAGCUCCAGGCAAUAACAGGUCUGAGAUGCCCUUAGAUGUCCUGGGCCGCACGCGUGCUACACUGAACGGGUCAACGAGUGACGGAUAUGCGAGAGCAUUUCCGAAUCUCCAAAUCCGUUCGUGAUGGGGAUCGACGGUUGCAAUUUCCGUCGUCAACGAGGAAUACCUUGUAAGCGCGGGUCAUCAUCCCGCGCUGAAUACGUCCCUGCCCUUUGUACACACCGCCCGUCGCUCCUACCGAUUGAGUGGUCCGGUGAGGCCUUUGGGAGAGCUAGAUGAACUGUUUUACUCAGAUCUUUUGGCUUCAACUUGGUCAAACCUUAUCACUUAGAGGAAGGAGAAGUCGUAACAAGGUUUCCGUAGGUGAACCUGCGGAAG
Molecule: ribosomal RNA, 1130 nt
Filed under: Gracilariopsis chorda
Lineage: Eukaryota; Rhodophyta; Florideophyceae; Gracilariales; Gracilariaceae
Description: SSU rRNA
Rfam family: Eukaryotic small subunit ribosomal RNA
Source: RNAcentral